AGCUAAGUAAUUUAUUUAAAAUAGUUACCUUGAAAGUAAAAAAAGAGAAUCUCAUUAGCUU
RNAcentral lists this transfer RNA (61 nucleotides) under Agonoscena pistaciae. RNAcentral's name for it is "tRNA-Ser". Lineage: Eukaryota; Metazoa; Arthropoda; Insecta; Hemiptera; Aphalaridae. The record is from RNAcentral.